UGUAUAUAAUAAGAUCAUUUGGCAGAUACUUGAGCAAUUCUAAAUUUGAAUUGUUGAAAUGUGGCAACCAUAAGGAUUGUUAUAGAGAACAAUAAUUUGUGCUCACAUAUCAGAGAUUGAAUAAUUUGGAGAUCAUCAGUAUGUUUGACUAUGAUAAUUUUGGAUGUCUAUUUAUAAUGGACUACUAACUCAAGAAAUGACUGUAAAUAUUUAUGUCACUUGGUUGCAUAAAGUAAAAGGUUUUGAAAGACAAGUUAUAUCUUGACAUAAGUUAGUCGGAUAAUGUUUCAACAAUUAUUUUAUAAAGUUUGUUGACUUGUUAGUUGUUGUUGAAUGAUAGAACAUAUGGAGAUAAAGUUUAUGCUAGCUGACUCACUAAUCAAAGACUUGACACUUAAGGUCUUUCAUUCGAUUGUUGUCACUAAGGAUGUCUUGGAUUAGUGGGAGUCUCUCAUUCGUUAUGUUCUUACUUUGGUUUUUGAUAUUGAUACGGAUUUUGUUAAGGUUUUCUGCAGAAAUAAAGUUUGAGGUUAUUAUUGUUAUAACCAGUUAUGUAUCUUUGGUGCAAAUAUAUUGAAUUUGCAAACUUCAGUUUGAUCUCACUAAAGUUUUC
Molecule: long non-coding RNA, 613 nt
Filed under: Trifolium pratense (red clover)
Lineage: Eukaryota; Viridiplantae; Streptophyta; Magnoliopsida; Fabales; Fabaceae
Description: long non-coding RNA (TPRA_LNC004411)
Source: RNAcentral